RNAcentral lists this non-coding RNA (188 nucleotides) under Zootermopsis nevadensis. Its description in RNAcentral is "Eukaryotic small subunit ribosomal RNA". It matches the Rfam family "Eukaryotic small subunit ribosomal RNA", at positions 792 to 974 of the family's 1831-position model. Lineage: Eukaryota; Metazoa; Arthropoda; Insecta; Blattodea; Termopsidae. The record is from Rfam by way of RNAcentral.
UUCCUGAAUACCGAGUGCAUGGAAUAAUGGAAUAGGACCUCGGUUCUAUUUUGUUGGUUUUCGGAAGCCCCGAGGUAAUGAUCGAAAGGGACAGACGGGGGCAUUCGUAUUACGACGUUAGAGGUGAAAUUCUUGGAUCGUCGUAAGAUGGACAGAACAAAAGUUAGAGGUUCAAAGAUGAUCAGAUA